UACAGAGGGUGCAAGCGUUAAUCGGAAUUACUGGGCGUAAAGCGUGCGUAGACGGUUAUGUAAGUCGGGUGUGAAAGCCCCGGGCUCAACCUGGGAAUUGCAUUCGAGACUGCAUAGCUAGGGUGCGGAAGAGGGAAGCGGAAUUUCCGGUGUAGCGGUGAAAUGCGUAGAUAUCGGGAGGAACACCGGUGGCGAAGGCGGCGAUCUGGGUCGAUACUGACGCUGAGGUGCGAAAGCGUGGGGAGCAAACAGG
RNAcentral lists this ribosomal RNA (253 nucleotides) under uncultured bacterium. RNAcentral's name for it is "partial 16S ribosomal RNA". It matches the Rfam family "Bacterial small subunit ribosomal RNA", at positions 524 to 776 of the family's 1533-position model. The record is from RNAcentral.